GCUGUCGACCAUACCACCCUGAACGCGCCCGAUCUCGUCUGAUCUCGGAAGCUUAAGCAGGGUCGGGCCUGGUUAGUACUUGGAUGGGAGACCCCCACAAUUUUAUUCUCAUCU
This is a ribosomal RNA of Mustela putorius furo (domestic ferret), 114 nucleotides long. NCBI's taxonomy places the organism in Eukaryota, Metazoa, Chordata, Mammalia, Carnivora, Mustelidae. The record is from Ensembl.